This 24-nucleotide non-coding RNA is filed under the name Arabidopsis thaliana (thale cress). The record is from RNAcentral. Lineage: Eukaryota; Viridiplantae; Streptophyta; Magnoliopsida; Brassicales; Brassicaceae.
CUCAGGGUGAGCUUGGUCGACUGC